Molecule: non-coding RNA, 2364 nt
Organism: Chrysemys picta bellii (western painted turtle)
Lineage: Eukaryota; Metazoa; Chordata; Testudines; Emydidae
Source: RefSeq, a predicted model, not a curated record
AACGGCGCCCAGACCCACUGCCCAGCAGCCCGUUUUACUAGGAAUCAAACGUCUGGGGGCAGUGAUUCCUUCCUUUUAAGGCACAGCUUGGCACGGCAGGAAAGGACUGGACCGAGCUGGCUGGGACCACUGAGUGUGCGGAGCCCUGAUCAGCGCCGAAAGCAGCUGGGGGAGGGAAGGGUUAAAGCGGCCUCGCAGUCGACGCGCAGUUGCCGGAAUCCAUUGGGUUGGUUGGCUCGGCUCCAGUCUGGGCUGGGACGGGGAAGGGUUAAAGGGGCGAGGGGGCGUCUCCAGCCUGUCCCAGGGGGUUGGUUGGCGGUUGCAGCUGACUCCUCCUGGUCCGAAGAACUGAAAGCAGCCGGGGAAGCCAGGAGCCACAUCGACUGAAUCUGGGCAAGGGAAGGAGCCUGUUACGCGUCGCUCGGUCCCAGCUGCAGGACUCUCACUUUGGGAUACUACCAUCUCCCCAGGCUGCCUCUCUCUGUGGGGAAAAAUGCUGCUUCUCUUCCAUCUCUGAUGCUGGAAUCUGGUGAUGCAGUGAGGUUGAGUUGGUAUGCAGUGCUCGUGUGCACAUGCCUCCUCAGAUCUCUGAAGGUCAGAAACUUGUGGCUAGAUUCCUACAGAUUGGUGAGAUUGAACUAUUUUAUAAUGCUACAACUUCCAUGGCCGAACUAGUAUUGCAAAGAACUGUGGAGAGGAGGCUAGUGUUUCAGUGACAACUUUGCAAUCCCAGUAAUGGGCUGGUGUUGCACAUAUUGGUGUAUCUGAUGACAAACUAGCUGCAAAGGUGACAAAUUCUUGCUCCUUUAUAGGAUGCCAAUCAAGCACUGUAUGUGCGGACGCUGACGGGACAUGGACCUGUGGAAAAGGAAGCAAAUAGGCUUGGUUAUGCACUGAGACACUUCCAGGUGGCACUCUUGUGGGUGUCCCAAGCCCAGGAUACUAGUUUUGGUUGGAACAACUGACUGGAGUAUCAUUUCCAUUCCUGCUCAGAGACAAACUGAUACAGGGGUCUGGUACCAAGUGUCUGUCUUGGAGCAAGAGUUCCAGCCCUUCUGUAAAAACAUGAGGCAUUUGUGUUCCUGAGGUACUUUGAUGCUUGUUCACAUUGGGAUGUCCCAUCACUGUGAGCCCUCCCCCUCCCCAGAAAGGCACUGGUUAGUCACCCUGAAAGCCAUGAUACAGAUUCAGGGACAGUCCCCAUUUAGUGGAAGGGGAUCGCUUUUUCUCUUCUGUUAUCAAUAGCACACAUGUAACUUCCUCUAUGGGGGAGGAGUCUUUUGGAUUAGAAGAACAGUUCCACUUAAUCCAGCUGGUUUGGUCCAGAGCCCAACUUCACUUUGGUUGAUCUUCUCUAUUGACCUGAUCAGGGCUGUGUAUGACAAGGUCUCUAAAACAUUCCUGCUUCUGUGUGUGAGUGCACAGUGUUGUGAGUCUGAGUUAUUAGUGUGAAACUGGGGUUGGCAGUAGGGGAUCUGCUCUUAUCAGUAUGGGGUGGAGGCAGCAGGGCAGAUGCCUGAGGCAUUCUCUCUUUUUCAUACCAGUGCAUGUGACAGAAUGAGAUGUAAGGUUUCUCCAAGGCCAAAGCUUUCUCCACAGGGCUAGCCCUACCCAAUUGCCUGGAGUCUCCUCCCUUGUGAAGAUUUCACAGCUUUAACGAUGCAGCUCAUCUGGACUGUCCUCAUUCCAGUUAGCAUGCCACUUUGGUCUCUCAGCACCGGCAGGUGCAACGUAACCUGGAACUGGAGGAUGGCAAAGGAGAUGUCCUACCAGGGCCUCUUCAAAGCUCAGUAUCCAGCUGCUUGCAUCUGCUCCUCUCCUCUGGGUGCCUCCUCCUUUCAUUCUAAGACGUCACACAGUGUGACUGAACUUCAUGUGGAAUUCUUAGGUUGACACUGGCUUCUCCUCCUUGCUGUGAAGAUGCUUGAAUUGGGGACCGAGCUUGAGGCAUGUGUCACAGAGGAGCGCUAAAGUUAUAUCACUGCUACAGCCUAUGUCGGUAAAACUUGCGUUGCUCGGUGGGUGGAAUAUUCACCCCCCUGAGCGACAUAAGUUACACUGACAUAAGUGCUCACGUGUGCACAGCACUAUGUUGAGCUUCUCCCACCAACAUAGCUUCUGCCACUCGUGGAGAUGGGAUUUUUAUGCUGAUAAAAGAGCUCUCUCCCAUCGGCAUAGAGCGUCUUCACCAGAUGUACUACCGUGGCGCAGCUGUAUCAGUACAACUGCACUGCUUCAGCUGUGUACUUUAGAGACAUGGCCUAAGUUCUGGCCUGCUUCAGAACCGUUUCAGACUUGGCAGGCAUUUUAUAUCCUGUUCCCUUCCUGUGCUUCUAUGGGGUCCGUCAAAGUGUGACGCUUUAA